GACGAACGCUGGCGGCGUGCUUAACACAUGCAAGUCGAACGGAAAGGCCCGGCUUUUGUGGGGUGCUCGAGUGGCGAACGGGUGAGUAAAACGUGAGUAACCUGCCCUUGACUUUGGGAUAACUUCAGGAAACUGGGGCUAAUACCGGAUAGGAGCUCCUGCUGCAUGGGGGGGGUUGGAAAGUGUCGGCGGUGGGGGAUGGACUCGCGGCUUAUGAGCUUGUUGGUGGGGUAGUGGCUUACCAAGGCUGUGACGGGUAGCCGGCCUGGGAGGGUGACCGGCCACAUGGGGACUGAGGUACGGCCCAGACGCCUACGGGCGGCAGCAGUGGGGAAUAUUGCGCAAUGGGCGGAAGCCUGAUGCAGCAACGCCGGGUGCGGGAUGCCGGCCUUCGGGUUGUAAACCGCUGUCGACUGUGAUGAGGCGUGCGUGACGGUAAUGGGUAAAGAAGCACCGGCUAACUACGUG
RNAcentral lists this ribosomal RNA (468 nucleotides) under uncultured bacterium. RNAcentral's name for it is "partial 16S ribosomal RNA". It matches the Rfam family "Bacterial small subunit ribosomal RNA", at positions 28 to 507 of the family's 1533-position model. The record is from RNAcentral.